UAGCAAUGCCUAGGCUGCAUGCCGGUCCAGGAAGUGAAAAAUCAAAGAACAGUAGAAUAUCUAGGCACCACUGGCAGUGUGUGUGCUACCAUCAAGCAAAUCAAAGAGAGCUACAGCCAUCAGUGUAAGAAUAUGAUGUGAUAAAAGCUUUUGGGUCCUCCUACAAGUUCUCAUCUAGCCAGGCAUUCCACAUCAAGGCUAUCCUCCAACUCACAGUCUCUAUAGUGACAUUGGAAGGAAUAAUAGUUUCACCAUGCUGUUCAGUUGUACACGGUAAGGAGAAGACCUCUUCUAGGUUUUUAAAAUAUAUAUACAGUAGUUUUGAAGAGCUAAUAGUGCUUGCUUAAUGGGCACUGAUGAUCAGUUGAUAUCUCUAGAAUGCAGGCCACAUCAUAGUUGAUAUCUCUAGAAUGCAGGGCACAUCAUUCUCUGUGUGUGUAUUUAAUCUAGUCUGAGAAACAAACAGUCUGCGUUUUUGAGUUGGCUGACAAGAAACAGGAGGAGGGGGGCUAAAC
Molecule: long non-coding RNA, 515 nt
Organism: Hemicordylus capensis (graceful crag lizard)
Lineage: Eukaryota; Metazoa; Chordata; Lepidosauria; Squamata; Cordylidae
Exons: 3
Source: RefSeq, a predicted model, not a curated record